RNAcentral lists this ribosomal RNA (326 nucleotides) under uncultured bacterium. RNAcentral's name for it is "bacterial SSU rRNA". It matches the Rfam family "Bacterial small subunit ribosomal RNA", at positions 181 to 507 of the family's 1533-position model. The record is from RNAcentral.
CGGAUCCGCAUGGAUAUGUUGUUAAAGGUUUAUCGCCUUGGGAUAGGCUUGCGUCUGAUUAGCUAGUUGGUGUGGUAACGGCACACCAAGGCUACGAUCAGUAACUGGUCUGAGAGGAUGAUCAGUCACACUGGAACUGAGACACGGUCCAGACUCCUACGGGAGGCAGCAGUGAGGAAUAUUGGGCAAUGCUCGAAAGAGUGACCCAGCAACGCCGCGUGGAGGAUGAAGGUAUUCUAUAUCGUAAACUCCUGUGAGAGCAGACGAAAGACAGAUUAUUAAUCUGGAUGACUGUAUGCUCAGAGGAAGCCCCGGCUAACUACGUG